CGCGUAGGCGGCAUGCCAAGCGUGUGGUGAAAGCCCGGGGCUCAACCCGGGUCGGCCGUGCGGACUGGCGUGCUCGAGCACUGUAGGGGCGGGUGGAAUUCCGGGUGUAGCGGUGGAAUGCGUAGAGAUCCGGAAGAACACCGGUGGCGAAGGCGGCCCGCUGGGCAGGAAGACGGAGCAAUCCGUCGGCUGACGCUGAGGCGCGACAGCGUGGGGAGCAAACA
This 224-nucleotide ribosomal RNA is filed under the name uncultured bacterium. RNAcentral's name for it is "partial 16S ribosomal RNA". It matches the Rfam family "Bacterial small subunit ribosomal RNA", at positions 568 to 774 of the family's 1533-position model. The record is from RNAcentral.